GACGUAGGGGGCCAGCGUUGUUCGGAAUUACUGGGUGUAAAGGGUUCGUAGGCGGUGCAGCAAGUUGGGAGUGAAAUCUCUGGGCUUAACCCAGAGGCUGCUUCCAAAACUGCUGUGCUUGAGUGUGGGAGAGGCGCGUGGAAUUGCAGGUGUAGCGGUGAAAUGCGUAGAUAUCUGCAGGAACACCCGUGGCGAAAGCGGCGCGCUGGACCACUACUGACGCUGAGGAACGAAAGCUAGUGGAGCAAACAGG
This 253-nucleotide ribosomal RNA is filed under the name uncultured bacterium. RNAcentral's name for it is "partial 16S ribosomal RNA". It matches the Rfam family "Bacterial small subunit ribosomal RNA", at positions 524 to 776 of the family's 1533-position model. The record is from RNAcentral.